This is a non-coding RNA of Glycine soja, 133 nucleotides long. The record is from Rfam. NCBI's taxonomy places the organism in Eukaryota, Viridiplantae, Streptophyta, Magnoliopsida, Fabales, Fabaceae.
UUCUAAUUGGAUGAUAAUUAUCAUAUGUCAUGUUCUGAUUGACCGACAACAAUAAUGUAUUUCAUCGUUCAUAGAGUCGAUAUCCAAUCAUGACUCGUUCAAUCAGGAUGUGACAUGUGAUCGUCUAACAUUC